ACGUAGGGUGCGAGCGUUAAUCGGAAUUACUGGGCGUAAAGCGUGCGCAGGCUGUUUUGUAAGUCAGAUGUGAAAUCCCCGAGCUCAACUUGGGAACUGCGUUUGAAACUACAAGACUAGAAUAUGUCAGAGGGGGGUAGAAUUCCACGUGUAGCAGUGAAAUGCGUAGAGAUGUGGAGGAAUAUCAAUGGCGAAGGCAGCCCCCUGGGAUAAUAUUGACGCUCAUGCACGAAAGCGUGGGGAGCAAACAGGAUUAGAUACCCUGGUAGUCCACGCCCUAAACGAUGUCAACUAGUUGUUGGUAGAGUAAAAUCUAUGAGUAACGCAGCUAACGCGUGAAGUUGACCGCCUGGGGAGUACGAUCGCAAGAUUA
RNAcentral lists this ribosomal RNA (373 nucleotides) under uncultured bacterium. RNAcentral's name for it is "bacterial SSU rRNA". It matches the Rfam family "Bacterial small subunit ribosomal RNA", at positions 525 to 896 of the family's 1533-position model. The record is from RNAcentral.